AUCGAACCCGGAGAUAGCUGGUUCUCCUCGAAAUAGCUUUAGGGCUAGCCUCAUGGAUCAUUGAUGGGGGUAGAGCACUGAAUGUGCGCGGGGGCCACAAAGCCUACCAAACGCUAUCAAACUUCGAAUACCAUACAAUGCAGACCAUGGGAGUCAGUCCGCGAGAGAUAAGUUCCGCGGGCAAAAGGGGAACACCCCAGAUCAACCGCUAAGGUCCCCAAGUUCACGUUAAGUGGAGAAGGAUGUGGAAUUGCACAGACAACCAGGAUGUUGGCUCAGAAGCAGCCACACAUUUAAAGAGUGCGUAAUAGCUCACUGGUCGAGUGAUUGUGCGCCGAAGAUGUCCGGGGCUAAACGUGACACCGAAGCGAUGGGUGCAUCUGAAAGGAUGCGCGGUAGAGGAGCAAUGUGCAGAGGCAGAAGCCGUAUCGAGAGGCACGGUGGACACUGCACAAGAGAGAAUGCCGGUAUGAGUAGCGAGAGGCAUGCGAGAAACAUGCCCGUCGAAAGCCCAAGGUUUCCUGGGGAAGGUUCAUCCGCCCAGGGUAAGUCGGGGCCUAAGCCGAGGACGGAAGUCGUAGGCGAUGGACAGCAGGUGUAGAUUCCUGCACUACCGAUGGAAUGAAGCAGUGACACAGAAGGAUAACUCGAGCAGGGUGAUGGUCAACCCUGUGCAAGCAUCAAGGUUGGGUUGUAGUGAAGUACGCAACCCUACAAGCUGAGGUGUGAUGCGGACCGAAAUUUCAGUAGGGAAGCGAGUGAGUUCACGCUGGCGAGAAAAGCUGCUAGUACAUCCAAAGGUACCCGUACCGGAAACCGACGCAGGUGGGCGAGGAGAGAAUCCUGAGACGAACGGGAGAACCCUUGUUAAGGAACUCGGCAAAAUGACCCCGUAACUUCGGGAUAAGGGGUGCCUGCGAGAGCAGGCCGCAGAGAAUAGUCACAAGCGACUGUUUAGCAAAAACACAGGUAUCUGCGAAAGCGAGAGCUGACGUAUAGGUGCUGACACCUGCCCGGUGCUGGAAGGUUAAGGGAACAUGUUAGAGCAAUCGAAGCAUCGAACCGAAGCCCCAGUAAACGGCGGCCGUAACUAUAACGGUCCUAAGGUAGCGAAAUUCCUUGUCGGGUAAGUUCCGACCCGCACGAAUGGUGUAACGACUUGUGAGCUGUCUCAACAGGGGGCCCGGUGAAAUUGAAGUAUGGGUGAAGAUGCCCAUUACCCGCGACUGGACGGAGAGACCCCGUAGAGCUUUACUGCAGCCUGAUAUUGAGUUUCGGUAACUGAUGCACAGGAUAGGUGGGAGUCUGAGAGACACGGGUUUCGGCUCGUGUGGAGACGCUGUUGGGAUACCACUCUUCGGUUACUGAAAUUCUAACAUAGCUCUGUGAAACCAGAGGAUGGACAGUGUCAGGUGGACAGUUUGACUGGGGCGGUCGCCUCCGAAAGAGUAACGGAGGCGCCCAAAGGUACCCUCAGAAUGGAUGGAAACCAUUCGAAGAGCGCAAAGGCAGAAGGGUGCCUGACUGCGAGAUUGACAAAUCGAGCAGAGACGAAAGUCGGGCUUAGUGAUCCGGCGGUAUUGAGUGGAAAAGCCGUCGCUUAACGGAUAAAAGCUACCUCGGGGAUAACAGGCUGAUCUCCCCCAAGAGUCCACAUCGACGGGGAGGUUUGGCAC
RNAcentral lists this ribosomal RNA (1676 nucleotides) under human gut metagenome. RNAcentral describes it as "bacterial LSU rRNA". It matches the Rfam family "Bacterial large subunit ribosomal RNA", at positions 832 to 2524 of the family's 2925-position model. The record is from RNAcentral.